UUCUUGGACCAUAAACACCUUUGAUCUUGGUGUUUCUUUGUGUUUUCUUGAUGUAAAUAAGUGUAUCAAUCCUUAACAUACUCUAGGAUAGAAGUACUUACAAUAUAGAAGCUUGAAAAGGUCCAAAAGUGCAAGAACACUAGUGUGCGUUCUUUGUGUUCUUGGUGAAACUUGAAGAAUCAACCUUUUGGAAAGAUUUCAUGGAUAAAAGUGUGUUAAAUCACUAGAUUAAGUGAUAUACUAACUUAAAAGGGAUAGAAAAACUUACUAGAUGAAGAUCUUGAAGAAUUGUUUGGAUGAUACUUGGGAGAGUUUGAGUUUUUGUUCUUAAAAGUUGGAGAAAUGGUAAAAAUAACUAAGUGUCACCUUUAUACCUCUUUCCUUUAGGGUUUACGGAUGNAUUGAGUUUACGGUCGUAAAAUCAUGAUUUUACGGUCGUAAACUCAUGCUUCCUUGACUAUGAGUUGUUUUGAAGCUCUACAAGUCCUUAGAAGCAUUACCACUUGAAGUAUAAGCCUAUGGAAGAAGUUAGGGCACCAUUUCACUUUUAAAUGGAGUUUACGGUCCUAAGACCAUUUCCCUUUGGGUUUACGGUCGUAAAGCCCAAUGGAUUAUGGUAUUUUGAUGUUUUCAAGUCCUUAACAUAUCAAUGAAGGGAUCCAUGAUAGUUACAAAGGCGUAGGAAGGGACUAGGGCCACUUUGGCCCCUUAUUUAGGGUUUAUGGUCCAAGGUGUUCUUGGACCAUAAACACCUUUGAUCUUGGUGUUUCUUUGUGUUUUCUUGAUGUAAAUAAGUGUAUCAAUCCUUAACAUACUCUAGGAUAGAAGUACUUACAAUAUAGAAGCUUGAAAAGGUCCAAAAGUGCAAGAACACUAGUGUGCGUUCUUGGUGUUCUUGGUGAAACUUGAAGAAUCAACCUUUUGGAAAGAUUUCAUGGAUAGAAGUGUGUUAAAUCACUAGAUUAAGUGAUAUACUAACUUAAAAGGGAUAGAAAAACUUACUAGAUGAAGAUCUUGAAGAAUUGUUUGGAUGAUACUUGGGAGAGUUUGAGUUUUU
Molecule: long non-coding RNA, 1057 nt
Filed under: Lactuca sativa (garden lettuce)
Lineage: Eukaryota; Viridiplantae; Streptophyta; Magnoliopsida; Asterales; Asteraceae
Description: long non-coding RNA (LSAT_LNC004575)
Source: RNAcentral